GGGUUAGGUGGCGGACGGGUGAGUAACGCGUGGAUAACCUGCCGUAUACAGGGGGAUAACACUUAGAAAUAGGUGCUAAUACCGCAUAAGCGCACGGUUCCGCAUGGAACAGUGUGAAAAACUCCGGUGGUAUACGAUGGAUCCGCGUCUGAUUAGCCAGUUGGCGGGGUAACGGCCCACCAAAGCGACGAUCAGUAGCCGGCCUGAGAGGGUGAACGGCCACAUUGGGACUGAGACACGGCCCAAACUCCUACGGAAGGCAGCAG
RNAcentral lists this ribosomal RNA (266 nucleotides) under uncultured bacterium. RNAcentral describes it as "partial 16S ribosomal RNA". It matches the Rfam family "Bacterial small subunit ribosomal RNA", at positions 88 to 354 of the family's 1533-position model. The record is from RNAcentral.